UCAAGAAACUUCCACAAUGGGCGAAAGCCUGAUGGAGCGACGUCGCGUGAUGGACGAAGUGCUUCGGCACGUAAACAUCUUUUAUGUGGGAUGAAAUUAUUGACAGUACCACAUGAAUAAGGGGCUCCUAACUCUGUGCCAGCAGGAGCGGUAAUACAGAGGCCCCAAGCGUUAUCCGGAAUCACUGGGCGUAAAGGGUGUCGAGGCGGUUGUAUUAGUCGUUCGUAAAAUCUACGAGCUUAACUUGUAGGCGGCGAACGAAACGGUACGACUUGAGGUUUGGAGAGGUGCGUGGAACUCACGGUGUAGGGGUGAAAUCCGUUGAUAUCGUGGGGAACACCAAAGGCGAAGGCAGCGCACUGGCCAAAAUCUGACGCUCACACACGAAAAGCUAGGGUAGCGAAGAGGAUUAGAUACCCAAGUAGUCCCUGAGCGGGCUGGCAAGGCGCAU
RNAcentral lists this ribosomal RNA (451 nucleotides) under uncultured bacterium. RNAcentral describes it as "bacterial SSU rRNA". It matches the Rfam family "Bacterial small subunit ribosomal RNA", at positions 355 to 825 of the family's 1533-position model. The record is from RNAcentral.